This is a long non-coding RNA of Nicotiana attenuata, 908 nucleotides long. RefSeq lists it as uncharacterized. NCBI's taxonomy places the organism in Eukaryota, Viridiplantae, Streptophyta, Magnoliopsida, Solanales, Solanaceae. The record is from RefSeq and is a predicted model, not a curated record. The transcript has 2 exons.
ACGUUUGCAAUUUUUUUUGCAAAGCGGGCACAAGUUAAAAUGUGACAUAAAAAGCGGGUAUAGAUGCAAAUCCCCCAUAAAAGAAGCUACAGUUGAAGGCCUGAACAAAGUAACAAAUGGACUUCAAUUCUGGCCCAAAUCGCAAAACGAAAACCAAAUAAAAACAAACGAACACCCUAAAACCCUACUUCUUCUUUUUCGACUCGCAUAAUUUUUCCAGCUUUAAGGUUUUCUCACAUCCGCUGCACAAAUGGGAAAAGGAACAGGUAGUUUUGGUAAGAGGAGGAACAAGACACACACACUGUGUGUGAGAUGUGGUCUUCGUCGCUUCCACAUCCAGAAGAGCCGUUGUUCAGCUUGUGCUUACCCUGCUGCUUGUCUCAGAAAAUGUAUGUUUUGUUUUCAUUUUUGAAGCACCCUUUUGAUAUUGAUAUUUGCUUGUUGGAACUGGUAUUUUAUUGAGAGACAUUUCAAUGUUGGAAAUCGAUGUAUUUCUUUAGUUGAUUAUGAGCUUGUUUGGUUUGGAUUAGAAAAAGGGUAGUGGCUGUUUACAUAGUCAUCAUAAGAUAACUGAUUGUAAUGUCAGUUUUACUGAGCACAUAGUCAUCAUAAGAACUGCAUACUUCAACUCUGUUAUAUGUGGGAUUAACUGGUUUGUCUUUCUUUUGGGCACCGCAGGAACCGAGGCUACUCCAAGGAAGAAGGGUGCUGCUGUAGCCUCUUAAAGUUUCUAAAUUAGCAGUUCAACUGUUUCGUUUUGAUUUUUUGCUUUACAUUCCCUGAUGAAUCGAGUCUUGGAUAUUCGUACCUCUGAGUAUUAUCUCUCAUUUGUUAGUGUGGAGUGGUUCCUAUUUAAGACAGAUCCAAUGAUGAUUGCCUUUUGUCCUUUAUAUAGUAGUUCUUUUACA